Long non-coding RNA from Prunus persica (peach), 593 nucleotides. RefSeq lists it as uncharacterized. The record is from RefSeq and is a predicted model, not a curated record. The transcript has 2 exons. Lineage: Eukaryota; Viridiplantae; Streptophyta; Magnoliopsida; Rosales; Rosaceae.
UUGAAAAAUUCUGGGCACUCUGUCUCUCGUCUCUCUCUCUUCGUAGAAUCCAGGUCGGCCAGUUUUGGCUGCGAUCUUGGUGCUCUAGCCACGGCUAGACGCGUGACUGGUCAGAAAAUGAUCGGAGGAGGCCGGCGAACCAUGCUUGAGCCCAUCCCUGGCGAGCCCAACCUCCCUUCGCCGUUGCUAGUUCCAGGAACCUUCGAGGGUUUCGAGUUUUCCCACACCUUUUUCGGCGGUUCCGACGACCGUUGUCACCGAUCCAGAGGUAUUUCCUUUUGCCUUUGCAAUUGUUUCUGGUAAAACUAUGGACAAAUUGGAGGUGGUUUCUGCAAAGGAUAUCGGAUGUCUUGCUAGGCCUUUUUGGAUUUUUUUUGAAUUUUUUGUAUGAAAUGGUAUUAACAAUGUACUUUUAUGAUAUGGUAUUAACAAUGUACUUCAAGUUUACUGGGCUUAUUUUGGGUUUUUUUUUUGUUGAGUUUUUUUGUGUUGGGCUUAUUUUAAGUUUAUCGAUGGUAGUCAUGUGAUUUAUAGGAACUUCAACACUCAUUUUUUAUGUAGUAAAUGGAUUUUGGGUGUGUUUCUAAAGUGCA